GUACGUUUUGACCCUUUAUGACCCAGGAAUUCCCUAUUGGCUUAGGUGAAGAACGGGCAAUCGUGAAUGGGAACAAAUCUACGAGUUACUUAGAUGGAGGCGCUGGCUACGUUCUAAGCAAGGGAACUCUGCGGAUCUAUGGCAACGUAACUUAUCACAAUAACUCUCUCUGCCCGAUGGAUCACCAAGGAGAAGAAGACGUGACGUUAGGGAAGUGUUUGACCGAUUCAGGAGUGCUUCUUGGCGAUUCCAGGGAUGAACUUGGAAGGCACAGGUUUCUCCAGGAACCUCCUGUGUAUUACAUAAGAGGGACGUGGCAGAAAUGGUACCCUAAAUACGAUGAUUUACCCUUAUGGCAAGGUUAGUUUCAGGGAAUCGACAGCAUAUCAGAAACGGCAGUAUCUUUCCACGACAUGAAAGAUGAGUCUCAUCUCUACGUGAUCGAGUUUUUCAUCUACAGACUACAGCUCUUCGGCGUCGAAGGCAGAUUCAAGGGACCUCAGAUAGCGCCGCUGCCACCUGAUAUCACUGCUAUAUGAGGUCCUGAAGCGGUUCCAGAAGCCAAAGGCGAACGAAAGUAGAAGUGAGAGGGAAGUGAACAGGACAGGAAAUCCUCCAUCAUUGAAUACACUGAAAACAACUUCUGAUUUCAUCUUAUUCAGUAAAAUGUUGUCUGUUCUUUUAUUAGGUGUAUAAUAUUAAUACUGAUAAAAGCAACAACGAUGGCGAUGAGAAUAUUUAAUAAAUCAUAAAUGAAAUAAGAAUAUUUGAUAAUAUAAUUUGUAUCUUUAUUAUUACCAUUAACUUCAGUAAUGCAUUCUGUGUUAUUAUUUUAAUCAUCAUUCAUAUUAGGUGUUUAAUAUGUGAAGUAGCCUACAUAUAACUGAACUACGGUGGAAAUCAAAGUUAAAUGUACAUAUAAGCAUAUUAAACACUUUUCAGCUCGAAAAGAAUGAAGACCAUUCAGUCUACUUUAUUCUAUUAACAAUGAAUUGAAGUGAAA
Molecule: RNA transcript, 1003 nt
Organism: Macrobrachium nipponense
Lineage: Eukaryota; Metazoa; Arthropoda; Malacostraca; Decapoda; Palaemonidae
Gene name: glycoprotein-N-acetylgalactosamine 3-beta-galactosyltransferase 1-like
Exons: 5
Source: RefSeq, a predicted model, not a curated record